CGGGACGGGUGAGUAACGCGUGGGUAACCUACCCUGUACACACGGAUAACAUACCGAAAGGUAUGCUAAUACGGGAUAAUAUAUUUGAGAGGCAUCUCUUGAAUAUCAAAGGUGAGCCAGUACAGGAUGGACCCGCGUCUGAUUAGCUAGUUGGUAAGGUAACGGCUUACCAAGGCGACGAUCAGUAGCCGACCUGAGAGGGUGAUCGGCCACACUGGGACUGAGACACGGCCCAG
Molecule: ribosomal RNA, 236 nt
Filed under: uncultured bacterium
Lineage: Bacteria
Description: partial 16S ribosomal RNA
Rfam family: Bacterial small subunit ribosomal RNA
Source: RNAcentral